RNAcentral lists this ribosomal RNA (463 nucleotides) under Prevotella denticola. RNAcentral's name for it is "bacterial SSU rRNA". It matches the Rfam family "Bacterial small subunit ribosomal RNA", at positions 28 to 478 of the family's 1533-position model. The record is from RNAcentral. Lineage: Bacteria; Pseudomonadati; Bacteroidota; Bacteroidia; Bacteroidales; Prevotellaceae.
GAUGAACGCUGGCUACAGGCUUAACACAUGCAAGUCGAGGGGAAACGGCAUUGAGUGCUUGCACUGAAUGGACGUCGACCGGCGCACGGGUGAGUAACGCGUAUCCAACCUUCCCGUUACUGCGGGAUAACCUGCCGAAAGGCAGACUAAUACCGCAUGUUCUUCGAUGACGGCAUCAGAUUCGAAGCAAAGAUCCGUCGGUAACGGAGGGGGAUGCGUCUGAUUAGCUAGUUGGCGGGGCGACGGCCCACCAAGGCGACGAUCAGUAGGGGUUCUGAGAGGAAGGUCCCCCACAUUGGAACUGAGACACGGUCCAAACUCCUACGGGAGGCAGCAGUGAGGAAUAUUGGUCAAUGGGCGGAAGCCUGAACCAGCCAAGUAGCGUGCAGGAGGACGGCCCUACGGGUUGUAAACUGCUUUUAUGCGGGGAUAAAGUGAGGGACGCGUCCCUUUUUGCAGGUAC